GAUGAACGCUGGCGGCGUGCCUAAUACAUGCAAGUCGAGCGAACGGACGAGAAGCUUGCUUUUCUGAUGUUAGCGGCGGACGGGUGAGUAACACGUGGAUAACCUACCUAUAAGACUGGGAUAACUUCGGGAAACCGGAGCUAAUACCGGAUAAUAUUUUGAACCGCAUGGUUCAAAAGUGAAAGACGGUCUUGCUGUCACUUAUAGAUGGAUCCGCGCUGCAUUAGCUAGCUGGUAAGGUAACGGCUUACCAAGGCAACGAUGCAUAGCCGACCUGAGAGGGUGAUCGGCCACACUGGAACUGAGACACGGUCCAGACUCCUACGGGAGGCAGCAGUAGGGAAUCUUCCGCAAUGGGCGAAAGCCUGACGGAGCAACGCCGCGUGAGUGAUGAAGGUCUUCGGAUCGUAAAACUCUGUUAUUAGGGAAGAACAUAUGUGUAAGUAGCUGUGCACAUCUUGACGGUACCUAAUCAGAAAGCCACGGCUAACUACGUG
RNAcentral lists this ribosomal RNA (497 nucleotides) under uncultured bacterium. RNAcentral's name for it is "partial 16S ribosomal RNA". It matches the Rfam family "Bacterial small subunit ribosomal RNA", at positions 28 to 507 of the family's 1533-position model. The record is from RNAcentral.